Molecule: transfer RNA, 72 nt
Filed under: Ailuropoda melanoleuca (giant panda)
Lineage: Eukaryota; Metazoa; Chordata; Mammalia; Carnivora; Ursidae
Description: tRNA-Lys
Source: RNAcentral
ACUGGCUGGCUCAGUUGGUGGAGCAUGCAACUCUUGAUCUCGCAGUUGUGGGUUCAAGCCCCACAUUGAGUG